Molecule: ribosomal RNA, 522 nt
Filed under: uncultured bacterium
Lineage: Bacteria
Description: bacterial SSU rRNA
Rfam family: Bacterial small subunit ribosomal RNA
Source: RNAcentral
UGGGGAAUAUUGCACAAUGGGGGGAACCCUGAUGCAGCAACGCCGCGUGAGUGAAGAAGGCAUUCGUGUCGUAAAACUCUGUAGUAGGGGAAGAAAGAAAUGACAGUACCCUAAAAGAAAGCCCCGGCUAACUACGUGCCAGCAGCCGCGGUAAUACGUAGGGGGCAAGCGUUAUCCGGAAUAACUGGGCGUAAAGGGUGCGCAGGUGGUUUAACAAGUUAGUGGUGAAAGGCAUAGGCUCAACCAAUGUAAGCCAUUAAAACUGUUUAACUUGAGUGCAGGAGAGGAAAGUGGAAUUCCUAGUGUAGCGGUGAAAUGCGUAGAUAUUAGGAGGAAUACCAGUGGCGAAGGCGACUUUCUGGACUGCAACUGACACUGAGGCACGAAAGCGUGGGGAGCAAACAGGAUUAGAUACUCUGGUAGUCCACGCCGUAAACGAUGAGUACUAGGUGUCGGGUGAAGAACUCGGUGCCGAAGUUAACACAUUAAGUACUCCGCCUGGGGAGUACGCUCGCAAGAGUA